Mirounga angustirostris (Northern elephant seal) is the source of this 3521-nucleotide long non-coding RNA. RefSeq lists it as uncharacterized. The transcript is spliced from 2 exons. NCBI's taxonomy places the organism in Eukaryota, Metazoa, Chordata, Mammalia, Carnivora, Phocidae. The record is from RefSeq and is a predicted model, not a curated record.
CGCCGCCCUUUCCGGGAGCGGCCGGGGAGUGGCCGCCGCGGGGCGGGGGGCGCGGGGUCCCCCGGCGCGGGUCUCCGCCCCGGCCCGGCAGCGCUCCCUCGGGCAUGGCCGCCGGGGCUGCGGGUCCGAGGCCGCGGUCGGCCCGGCCGGGGCGGGCGGGAGCCUCGGCAGAGUCGGAGCGCGUUCCGGGCUUGCCGGGCUCAAGGUCACGGCGGGGACGGCGCUCGGUGCCAGGGCCCGGCCUGCGGGACCUUGACCCGGCGCCACCCGAGCGGUGGCCGAGGGCGCGCGCGCGGCCGAGGCCCCAGGCCCUGGCCUCGGCCUCCGGCUUGUCGCGGCGCCCGGAGAAGGCUGCGCGGCCGCGCGAAGCCGCGACGUCUGCAUCCGCAGAUGGCAGUAGAGCUACUACUUAACCUCCGAGGUGGCGAGGAAGAAAUAAAAUAACUCAUCCGGGGUGAUAAGAAACUGAAAUUCAUAUUUUCUUCUUUCCAAAAAGACAGCUGAGGCUGAAGGUGUUCACCCAACAUAUUCACCUAAAGUGCCCAAAGUCACAAAGCUAGUAAAUUGGAGAUUUGGACCUGGGUCUGCCCAGUGCCCCCACUUCCUGCUGGGGCCAAAUGCUCUUGAAACUGAAGCCCAGCCUGUUGGCUCUUGGAUUACUCUCUCAGGCCCCCUGUAUCUUUUGACUGUCUUAACUGUAGGAGUUUUUUGGGACUCAAUCUAGACCCAGUUAAUUCACUGAUUCUACAAAUUUUGAAUGUAUACGAUGUCUUUGAAGCCUUGUGGAACUCAGCACAAUAGCCAUGGUCACUCUCCGCAGGAAGCCAUGGCAGCGGUAAAAAUUCAUAUAGACUUAAAGAUUGAAGUAGGUGGUGUGAGAGAAGAUCAGGGAACCUACCCCGUGAGAUCAUGGAAGGCCUCUCCAGGAAGGUGCCAUUAAGCUGAGACCUGAAGGGUCAGUGUGCAGGAAAGCCCUGACUGGGAAGGAGUAAGGCAUACCAGGAAACUCCAGAAAAGCCUAGGAAGAUGGAAGACAGGUGGAAGGGAGCACGAGCCCUGUGAUUCCAGGCCUUGCAAGCCAUUUUAGAGAGUUUGGAUUUUAUACCAAGAGACAUGGAAGACAUUUAAGGGUAUACAUUCUAGUGUGACAUGAUCUGAUCUAUGUUUUUAACAUAUCAGUCUGAUUUUGGAAAGGAGACAGAAUGGGCAGAUGCUGGUGCCAUUUACUGAAAGUCACUGGUUCCACAGGCAUAUGAGUUCCCACCAUGUGCCAGGCGCUGUUGGGAAAUAUCCGUGCAUAAAGUUGUUGCCAUCUGGGAGCUUGCUCCUAAUUGGGAGGAGGAAGAACAGAUACGGUGUGGGGAGAGGGGAAUCCAGAGCACUUUUGAACCUGGUAAAGUUUGAGAUGGCUGUGAGCUAUUCAAUGGAAAGGCAUUUGGCCUGUUUGAUCUAUUUGACCCUCAAAGGAGAUGUCUGGACUACAGGUUACAUUUGGGAGUUGUUGGUUUAUAGGAAUGCCAAAUGUUGAUAGAUCCGUGGGUUUCAUUAUACUGUAUUGCAUUUAAUUGAAAUUUUUCUUAAUAAAACAUUUUUUAAAACCAUAGGAAUGGAGGAGAUUGCUUGAAGAGUGUGGAUAGAGAAGGGGCUAAGAAACAGGCCCUGAGGUGUGUCAACAUUCACAGGCUAGCCAAAUUAUGGAAAGAACCCAAAUGUCCAUCAACUGAUGAAUGGAUAAAGAAGAUGGAUAGAUAGAUAGAUAAAUAGACAGACAGACAGACACACAGUGGAAUAUUACUCAGGCUUCAAAAAGAAUAAAAUCUUGCCAUUUGCAACAACGUGGAUAGAACUAGAGGGUGUUACGCUAAGCAAAUUAAGUCAGUCAGAGAAAGGCAAAUAUAUAAUUUCACUCAUAUGUGAAAUUUAAGACACACAACAGAUGAACAUAGGGGAAGGGAAGGAAAAAUAAAAUGAGAUAAAAACAGAGGCAAACCAUAAGAGAAUCAAAUAUGGAGAACAAACAGGGCUGGGGGGUGGGCUAGAUGGUUGAUAGACAUUAAGGAGGGCACUUGUUGGGAUGAGCACCGGGUGUUAUAUGUAAGUGAUGAAUCAAAAAAUUCUGCUCCUGAAACCAAUACUACACUAUAUGUUAACUAGCUUGAAUUUAAAUUAAAAAAAAUAGGGGCGCCUGGGUGGCUCAGUCGGUUAAGCAACUGCCUUCGGCUCAGGUCAUGAUCCCAGGGUCCUGGGAUCGAGUCCCACAUCGGGCUCCUGGCUCAGCGGGGAGCCUGCUUCUCCCUCUGACCCUCUCCCCUCUCAUGCUGUUUCUCUCUCGCUCUCUAAAAAAUAAAUAAAUAAAAUCUUUAAAUUAAAAAAAUAAAAGAAGGGAGGGAGGGCAGAAGGAAGGAAGGAAGGAACAUUCAUUCACAGGCUAGAUGUAGGAAGGAGAGGCAGCAAGGGAGACUGGGAAGGAGGAGCCAGCGAGGUCACUCACUGUUUGUGGCAGUGCCCAAGGGGAGGUAUUUCAAGGAGGUGGUGGUCAACUGUGCCAGAUGCUGCUAAAAAGUUAAGAUGACAGAAAACUGGAUUUGCCAACAGGAGUCUGAGUGACCUUGUGAGCGGGAUUUCAGAGGGGAAGGAGGAAGCCUUCCCAGGAGACUUAUUUGCCAGCACCUCUUAGCUCUGCUCAGUGCCAGGCCUGGAGUUCCAGUUGCUUAGUGGACAUUGCUCUAGUGUCCUACUGGUCCUUGAGAUGCCUUUGUACCCAGAAUUUAACUCAUCUUCCUCCUACAGAACCUGCUUGUCCCUCCCGGGUUCUCUCCCCAGAAAUGGUACAUCUUCCAUUUAGUGGCCCCAAACCCACCCCGUCUUGCUCUCUCCCAGCUAGCCAGCUGCCAGAUCUGUCAGUUCUACCUCCAGCACAUCUUGACUCUACCUUCUCUCUCACCAUUCCCCUACCUCAACUCUUGGCAACACUUGUCUGGAGUCCUAUGAAGAGUAAGGACUUGAACCUGUUGGUGAAGGGGACAACUAAAGAAUUCUGAGCAGAACUUUUUCCUAUUAGAAAGAUCUCUAUGACGUGAACUUGGACUGGAUGCUAAUCCCUUUUCUUUCCCAUCCCACCCCACCCUACCCUUGCCAAGAAAAACUAUAAAAGACAUUUUGGGAACAACGGGACAGUUUUUUGUUUCAAUUUUUUUUUUUUUUAAGAUUUUAUUUAUUUGACAGAGGGAGAGUGAGAGCACAAGCAGGGGGAGUGGCAGGGAGAGGGAGAUUCAGGCUCCCUGCUCAGCAGGCUCUAUCCCAGGGCCCCAGGAUCACGACCUGAGCCAAAGGCAGACGCUUAACCAACUGAGCCACCCAGGCAUCCCUGGGGACAGUUUAAUAUAUGAAAUGUAUAUUAGAUAGAAUUAUUCUUUUCCUCGGAUGUGAAAAUCAUAUCAUGGUUUUCUCUUUGUUCUUAGGAGGUGCAUACUGAAGCAUUUAGGGAUAAAGUAUCAUAGGGUCUGUGCUCUGCUUUCAAA